GACAGAGGGGGCAAGCGUUGUCCGGAAUCACUGGGCGUACAGCGCACGCAGGUGGCCGGCUAAGUGCCGUGUGAAAGCCCCGCGCUCAACGCGGGGAGGCCAGGGCAGACUGGCGGGCUGGAGGGCUGCAGAGGGUGGUGGAAGUGCCGGUGUAGUGGUGAAAUGCGGAGAGAUCGGCAGGAACACCAAGGGCGAAGGCAGCCACCUGGGCAGGCCCUGACACUCAAGUGCGACAGCGUGGGGAGCGAACCGG
This 253-nucleotide ribosomal RNA is filed under the name uncultured bacterium. Its description in RNAcentral is "partial 16S ribosomal RNA". It matches the Rfam family "Bacterial small subunit ribosomal RNA", at positions 524 to 776 of the family's 1533-position model. The record is from RNAcentral.